UACGGAGGGUGCAAGCAUUAAUCGGAAUUAUUGGGCGUAAAGGGCGCGUAGGCGGAAAUAUAAGUCAGAUGUGAAAUCCCGGGGCUCAACCCCGGAACCGCAUUUGAAACUGCAUUUCUAGAGGAUAGGAGGGGAAAAUGGAAUUCCACAAGUAGCGGUAAAAUGCGUAGAUAUGUGGAAGAACACCAGUGGCGAAGGCGAUUUUCUAUCUUAUUCCUGACGCUGAGGCGCGAAAGCAAGUGGAUCAAACAGG
This 253-nucleotide ribosomal RNA is filed under the name uncultured bacterium. RNAcentral describes it as "partial 16S ribosomal RNA". It matches the Rfam family "Bacterial small subunit ribosomal RNA", at positions 524 to 776 of the family's 1533-position model. The record is from RNAcentral.